This 481-nucleotide ribosomal RNA is filed under the name uncultured bacterium. Its description in RNAcentral is "bacterial SSU rRNA". It matches the Rfam family "Bacterial small subunit ribosomal RNA", at positions 329 to 803 of the family's 1533-position model. The record is from RNAcentral.
UGGCUAACUCCUACGGGAGGCAGCAGUGGGGAAUUUUGGACAAUGGGGGCAACUCUGAUCCAGCAAUGCCGCGUGAGUGAAGAAGGCCUUCGGGUUGUAAAGCUCUUUUGUCAGGGAAGAAACGGUAGUAGCUAAUAUCUAUUACUAAUGACGGUACCUGAAGAAUAAGCACCGGCUAACUACGUGCCAGCAGCCGCGGUAAUACGUAGGGUGCAAGCGUUAAUCGGAAUUACUGGGCGUAAAGCGUGCGCAGGCGGUUGUGUAAGUCAGAUGUGAAAUCCCCGGGCUCAACCUCGGAAUUGCAUUUGAGACUGCACGGCUAGAGUGUAGCAGAGGGGGGUAGAACUCCACGUGUAGCAGUGAAAUGUGUAGAUAGGUGGAGGAAUACCGAUGGCGAAGGCAGCCUCCUGGGAUAACACUGACGCUCAUGCACGAAAGCGUGGGGAGCAAACAGGAUUAGAUACCCCGGUAGUCCAGCUGG